This 234-nucleotide ribosomal RNA is filed under the name Stenotrophomonas maltophilia. Its description in RNAcentral is "partial 16S ribosomal RNA". It matches the Rfam family "Bacterial small subunit ribosomal RNA", at positions 1 to 231 of the family's 1533-position model. Lineage: Bacteria; Pseudomonadati; Pseudomonadota; Gammaproteobacteria; Lysobacterales; Lysobacteraceae. The record is from RNAcentral.
UAAGUGAAGAGUUUGAUCCUGGCUCAGAGUGAACGCUGGCGGUAGGCCUAACACAUGCAAGUCGAACGGCAGCACAGAGGAGCUUGCUCCUUGGGUGGCGAGUGGCGGACGGGUGAGGAAUACAUCGGAAUCUACUCUGUCGUGGGGGAUAACGUAGGGAAACUUACGCUAAUACCGCAUACGACCUACGGGUGAAAGCAGGGGACCUUCGGGCCUUGCGCGAUUGAAUGAGCC